Molecule: long non-coding RNA, 6516 nt
Filed under: Olea europaea subsp. europaea
Lineage: Eukaryota; Viridiplantae; Streptophyta; Magnoliopsida; Lamiales; Oleaceae
Source: RNAcentral
CCAUAGUUGAGCUGUGAAGCUGGAGGUUGUGGAUUGAGGUUCAUUCCAUGACAAAUUGGUAUUACAGCUGGCGCAUAUUACCGGGUAAUUGUUAGAUAUGGAUACAAGGUUGAAAACAAUUGAUGAACAUUUGAAGAAAUUAGAUAUCGAAGUGGGCGAAUUUGGGUACAACUUUUAAAGCUAUUAUUAGCAAGGAUUAUUCUAUAUGUACAAAAUCAAUGACAAACUUGACAAGUGGUGGCCCCCUGUUGGUGGAGUGGUGGUGGGGCCAGCCGCCCCGCUAACAGAGAGCCGCCACUUGUCAAGUUUGUCAAACUUUUAGUAAUUGAUUUUGUACUUGUAGACUAAUCCUUAUUAGCAAACUCGAGAAUAAACUUGAAUCUACAUACCAGACUCUUCAAGUACCAGGUAGUAGCCAUGAGAAAUAGAAGAUGUCUUGCUAGAAUUGAACCAAAAGUACGAAAAUGUGGUUGCAUUUAUGGCUCAAAUCUCUACUGAUUUGAAAACUAAUCAGAAGGACAAGGGAAUAGGUGAAUCUAUAGUUGAAUUGAAACUUGGAAGUGUGACUUCUCCACCAGGAGCUAGUAGCAAUGAGGCUAGUAUCAUCACUAGAGGUGAAUUGAAUGUGAACACUAGGCUACCUAAGAUCGAUUUCCCUCAUUUUGGGAAAAAGUCCUAAAGAGAUUUUGAGAAAGGCCAGGAAAUAUUUUAAAUUAUACCAAGUGCCAUAUGAACUCAAAGUAGGUAUGGCAGAAAUGUAUUUGAAAGGAAAGGCAGACAUUUUGUUUGAUAGAUUCAUAGCCGUCACCCGAAAGCUAGUCGGAAUCUAUUUUCAGUGGAACUCUGCAGGAGAUUAGCAGAAACUACUUAAGAAGUAGUAGUAGAAAGCUUCAGUGAGAUCAAGCAACUUGGAACUAUAGAGGAAUAUCAGGAGAAAUUCGAGGAAUUGGAAUCAGAAGUGAUGCUCGCAUUACCUCAUGUCUCAGAAUUCUACUAUAUUGUUGGAACUAUAGAGGUCUAAAAGGAGAGAUUAGAUCAAUGGUUAAAAUGAUAAAACCCAAUACACUAGCUAAGGCGUUUGAGAUAGUAGCCUAUAGGAAUCUACUAUUCAAGCCAUCCACAAAUUCUAGAAACCAAAAGGACGCACUGCAUACAAGUAGAGUCCCUACCCCCAAAACCACCUGAAGAAAAUAGAGCUAAAGACCCGUAACCAAAAACCAGUAAACCUCCGAACAGCUACAAAACAAUUACCCCCACUGAUUUCCAAACCUGGGGAAAUUUGGGGCUUUGUUACAAGUGUGAUGAGAAAUACACUUUCUGUUAAUGCAUUGGUUGGUAGUUCCAAGCAUAGAACUAUAAGGGUGCUAGGGGUAAUCAAAGAGAGAGAAAUAUCUAUCCUGAUAGAUAACGAUAGCACACAUGGAUUUAUAAAUGAAGGAUUGGCCAGAGAGUAAGCAAACUCUGAAUACUAGAUAUGACCUCAAAAUAACAGGGGUCAAGGUUGGUUAGUGAGAACUUGGUCAUUGAUGGAAAUAAAACAUUGACAAUCAGGGUGGCAAACGGUGAGAAAUUAGAGAGGUAGGCCCUUUACUCGCCCCUGACUUGGAAGAUGCAAAACUGGGAAUUCCAAUACCAUCUAAGAAUAUUGAAACUGUGUUGUAGUGACAUUGUAUUUAGGGCUGGACAAAUAUCUUGAAUCGAACCGACCGAACCGAACCCGACGAUUCUUGUCAAAUUAAAUACCCGAACGGGUAUCUGAAUUGAAAACCGACGGGUAAGAUUCGAUUCUCGGUUCUAGACCAAGAACCGAAGAAUCGAAUAAAAACCGAAUCUUUCUAAUUUUUUUUAUAUUGAAUAAAUCAAAUUAUUUUAAUUUCAAAUUUUUCUAAACAAAUUAACACAUUAACAAUUUCUAAACCCAAAUUUUUGGCCCAAUAAUUUGUUUCUUUUCUAAUUUUUUAAUUUUUGACCCAAUUGCCCAUUUUAUUGUUUCAUUUCUUAGUCAAGUAAGAUCAAAUCCACUAAAUAACCCUAAACACCAACACUAAAGUACAUAGCAUUGUCUCGACUCUCGCACUCACUCUGCAGCCUCGCUAAUAUUCCAAAACCUAUACAAUCAUCGGUUGACACUGUGACCUCCGAUCGAAGCUGUGACCUUCGCCAACCGAAGUUUUGAUCGUAACGAUCAUUUAAACAAGAUAGUUUACUAAUCUCUGACGUUCCAAAACCAUUAAAUGUAUCAUUAGUUGUAUUUAUAUAAUGUUGUUAUAAAUAAUUUAAUUAUAGUACAGAAUCGAACGGAACUGAACCGAACCGAACUGAACGAAACGAAACGAAACCCGAACGGUUCCAUAAUUAUAUUUGGAUCCGACGAUUCCAUUUACUAGAUACCCGAAAAGUUUGGUUCGGUUCUAAGGAGAACCGAACCGACUCGCGCCCACCCCUAAUUGUAUUGGGAGUAAAAUGGAUGAGUCAAUUUUGCCCAAUCAUGUUCGACUUUGCUCAAGGGUAUAUUAAGUUCAGACAUGAAGGUGCAGAAGCAACCUUGAGGAGUAAGGACACUAUACAAGUUGUGAAGAUAAUUGGAGCAAAGGAGAUGAAGAAUCUAUUUAGAAAGAGUAGUUGUGGUAUUUCUGGGCGAUUUUACACAUUACAGAGGGAAAGAAGAAGGAAAUUCGAAAACUGAUCGUAGAAAUUAUCAACUCAUUCCCAGGUGUAUUAAAAGAUCCCAUGGUUGCCUCUCCGUAGGACCCAUCACCACAAGAUUCCACUAAAAGAGGAAUCUCAACUUUUAAAAUCAGGCCAUAACAAUGUCCCUUUGUUUAGACAAUCGAAAUUGAGAAAACUAGUUAAAGAAAUGUUGGAUAGUGGGAUAAUUCAUCCCAGUAACAGCCCAUUUGCAUCUCCUGUUCUAUUAGUAAAAAAGAAGGAUAGGUCCUGGCGUUUUUGUGUAGAUUACAGACACUUAAACAGCUUAACUAUCAAGGACAAGUUCUCUAUGCCACUGAUUGAUGAACUUCAUGGGUCUAAGUAUUGUUCUAAAAUAGAUCUCAAGGCUGGCUAUCACCAAAUUAGAGUUACUCAAACAGGCAUUCACAAGACAGCUUUCCAAACACACCAAGGCCUUUACGAGUUCAAAAUGAUGACAUUUGGGCUCAUGAAUGCCCCUGCUACAUCCCAAAGCUUCAUGAAUGAGGUAUUUAAAGAGUAAUUGAGAGAUUAUGUCUUAGUCUUCUUUGAUGAUAUAUUGGUUUACAACCAUGACUUGACUACCUACUGUUAGCACCUAAAAACUGUCCUGGAGAUUUUGCAGAAACACCAGCUAUAUGCUAAAUGGUCUAACUAUAGUUUUUUACAGGAGCAAAAGGAAUACUUCGGUCAUAUAAUCAAUCAAAGUGGUGUCUCAACUUAUCCCAACCAAAUCGAAUCAUCGCAGUAAUGGCCUACGCCUAAGAAAAUCAAACAAUUAAGGGAUUUUUUUAGGCCUUACAGAGAACUAUAGAAAAUUUGUGAAGAAUUAUGGGAUAAUAGCUAAACCUUUAACUGGCCUCCAUAAGAAGGAUAGCUUCAUUUGGUCAAAGGCAGCAGAUUCAACAUUUGUGUUAUUGAAAGAGGCUACGAGUUCCACCCUAGUCCUAGCACUCCCUGAUUUCAGCAAGUCAUUCAUCAUUGAAACAGAUGCAUGCCAAAGGAGCACAGGUACAAUACUCAUGCAGGAUAGGAGACCUCUAUCAUACUUACGAAAAGUCAUGGGGAUAAAAAAUAUGGGGUUAUCCAUAUAUAAGAAGGAGUUGUUGGUAUUGGUAACAACAGCAAACAAAUGGAGGCAAUAUUUGGAGAGCCACCACUUCAUUGUAAAGAUUGACCAUUAGUCUCUCAAGUACCUACUUGAGCAAAGAAUCACUACCCCGCUCCAACAAAAGUGGCUCAACAAACUGCUAGGCCCCAGUUAUGAGAUAGUGUAUAAGAAAGGGACAGAUAACCUAGUGGCAGACGCACUAUCCAGGAGACAUAAAGAGAGUUUAGAAUGGCAAAUAUAAUUCCUGCUUUGAUCCAAGAGGUAAUCAAUAACUAUAAGGGAGAGAUAAGGAUGAUGAAGAGAGGAUUCAAUCCGUGAUACUGCAGUCAGAUAAUGACCAUAAUUUUUCCUAUUGCAAUGGUCUACUGUAGGUACAAAGGUAAGAUUUAUAUCAGGACAGGUGGUGAUAUCAGAACAAAACUGAUUCAGAUUCUCCAUAAUUCACAAGAAGGAAGUCAUUUAAGAAUGCAAAAUAGCAUCUAUAAAGCAAAACAACAAUUUUAUUGGCCAGGAAUGAACCAGGAUAUCAAGAUAGAGGCAUUACAAUGUGAAGUUUGUCAGAGGUACAAAGGGGAACAUACACCCUAUCUUGGACUAUUGUAGCCCUUACCCGAGCAUCUUCACUCAUGAAGUCAUAUUAGCAUGGAUUGCAUCAAGAGGUAAAAAUGUCAUUUUUGUAGUGGUGGAUAGGUUCACAAAAUAUGGGCAUUUUUUGGCUCUCUCACAUCUUUUCGGCUUUCACUGUCGUGUCAGUGGCAAAGAUAUUUAUGGAUAAUGUGUACAAUUUACAUGAGAUGCCUCAAAGCAUCUUCUUUGAUAGAGAUAAGGUCUUUACUAGCUGGUUCUGGCAAAAAGUAUUCACCAUGUUAGGCACUAAACUUCAGCUCAGCUCUACAUACCACCCUCAAAGGCUCAAACGGAUGGGCAACCAAAGUUUGGAGAUGUAUUUGAGGUGUCUACUUUUCAACAGCCUAAAUUAUGGGGUAAGUGGCUAACUCUGGCUGAAUGGUGGAACGACGCCACUUACCACUCUACAAUUAGAAUGACCCCAUUUGAGAAAGAAGAAGAAAUGAAUAGCAGUAAUUGAAAUUCAAAUACAAAACGACAGUGUUUGGUGGAAGAGAAAAUUGCACCGUUUUACUUUGAUUAAAUAAAUUGUAAUUUUUGGCUUCAAAAACGCGACUUUACUUGUAUUGGAGACAGAUAGAUACGAGCAUGUGCGAGAUGGAGGUCAGUUGUCAUUUUCUGAAUUUUUAGUUGCUAGUUGAAAGGAUACUCGGUUCUCACCUCCCAUCCUUCUUAUUUACAUCAUUUUCACCCUGCCCAAAUCUUUUUUACUUUAAUUUUGGUUACAAAUUCUGUUGAUUCAGCUGUGUAGAGUUCCAUAGUCGAGUUGUGAAGCUGGAGGUUGCGGACUGAGGUUCAUUCCAUGACACGCACCUCCUCUGCCAAAUCUUCCACCUUUCGCCAGUAGGCAUCCAACACCACGCCCUUAUACCUCAAAUCAACAGCACAGUCGACCAAUUACACAUUACCGUUUUCGUAGCGCCUCUUCACGCAGAAAGUCCCCCACUCGCCGACUUAAAACCAAGAUCAACAACCAAUUGUAACAUCCAACAUUGAUUCGCACCAUAAAAAAAAACCCAAAAAUUUUGCUAAGUAGCAAAUCAGGGAAGAAACUUAGAAAACAGCAAAUCCCUCGUCGUUGUGCACAGUGCAUGCUCUGUUAAUCACGCUCUUCCCCUUGCCUAUGCACGACGUGAACGACGCUUCGCAGCAGCAUUGACCACUGCUGCAAAGCGUCGCUCACAACGCUGCUCGCCGCUGUGAAGAGCGUUUCAUAGUGGCGAGCACCGCUCUCUUGUGCGCAGCACUUCGUCGUAGAAAGUGAUGCCGCUUAGUGUUGGGGGUUUUGUCAGCUGACGGGGUAGAGGGGAUAGGAUAUAAAGAAAUGGUUUAGGGUCAGGGGAUGAAAUGUGGAUACGAUAGAUAGAAAAAUAAUUCUCGGUGUAGCACAACCCUAUUAAUAUUAAAGAAUAGAAUUAUUAAAUAAUUAAUUAUAACAUGAGGUUUGAAUAAAAAAAUUUGUAAAUUUUAUUUUUGAAUUGCGAAGUUGAAAUGCUUGGAUGGAUGUAAUUUUCAUGACUAAAUCUCCUUAUAUAUCUAGCCUUACACUAAAAAAGGUUAAACCCCAAUUUUGAGGACUUUCAUCGUUCCACACUUAAAAUUUUGUGAGGGAGGUAAAUUGCGAGACGUGUCAUAACAGAUCAGGAAACAAGAGCGGCAUUUACACUGCGCCUACAAGGACUUCAGUUCCAUAUUUCAAGAAUCGAAUCCCCACACUGUAGCUGUCAGUAAGGCGUGAGAUAACUCCACUCCUAUUUUUUGCAUCACUGAAUUAUGUUCCGGAGGACAUAUCUAGUCUUAUACUAAAAAAAGGUUGAACCCCAACCUUAAGGGUCCCCCACUACCCCUAUCCUGGAGCAUCGAUUGGGAGGUAAAUCGCAGGUUAUGCCUCCAAGGGUAUAGGGUGGAAGGCUGCUUGUACACUUGCACUUACUCAAGAGUCAAAUCUAUAUUUCAAGAUUCGAACCCUUGACGCAGCAGCCUCAAGUAAAGUUGGAUUUCUCUACCCUCCCCUUUUAUCACUUGAAAAUGUGCCUUGGGGGCAUAUCUAGUCAUAUACUUCUAUCAUGUAAGGGGGUGUACACUUAGCG